Molecule: long non-coding RNA, 1460 nt
Organism: Esox lucius (northern pike)
Lineage: Eukaryota; Metazoa; Chordata; Actinopteri; Esociformes; Esocidae
Source: Ensembl
UCAUGGGUUGUUUGGUCAAAUGUCCCAGAACCAAGAUGAAUGGGACGUAGACUAGACAGAAAUACAGAGAGACAAAGAUCAGUCCUCGGAAGGAGCAAGCAUGUGCGUAUCCACUUUGACAUUGCCACAGGGGAGCCGACCUAGUGAGUUAUGCAGUAUUUCCACUGGUGUUUCACCCCAGCACCAGGGCUACACUGGUGAUUUAUGCUAAUAUUUGCUCUAGACCGCAGUUUCGACGAUACGUUUGGUCCCAAGGAUGUAAGGGGCUCAGAUAGGGAGGGAAGAGUAAACCAUUAAUGUGAUUUGUUUCUCCGGUUGAAAAAAAAAAAAAAGGCAAUAUUUUCCUGGUAGUAAAAUGAACAAUAACACCAUGCUCAGUCUGUUUAUAAUACAGCGUUUGAACUUGAAUGAUAAAACUAAUUUCUUAGUCGUUGUGGACUUGGUUUUCCACGACAUUAGUAGAUCGAGCACCUACAAGCUCAGAGAACUGUUGGCCAGGCAAAUGCCCUCGUCUCCAGCACCAUCUCAAAAGCAACACAGCUGAGCAACCGGUCUGAUAAAAAUGACUACUCGGCGAGAUGUGCAUCAGAGGACACGUUUUCACCAUUGAAACCGCCUCGAAUAAUCUGUAAUGACACAGGGCCAUGUUAUGGAAAUUUUGAACUAAGGUGCAUUUGAGAAAUGUCUGUCUUUCCAUUGGCUGAUAUGUAAAUCUGUACUUUGAUUGUGACACACAUGUCUGUAUAAUAUCAGAGGAGUAUUAGGUAUUUGGGCCAUGUGCUCCUGCCUAGAAGAAGGAUGUACUAGUUAAAGAUGUCGAGAGGGGUGUGGUGUUUGAAUAGGAGACAUCCUUGACCGGCACAGGUGGAUUAGAGGGGUACUCGUAAAUCUGUAUCCCUUUAGUGUCUCUGUUGACUAUCCAGACAUUGUGGGGGGACAGCCCGCCCUUUGGGUAAACUCUUGUGACAAGACAGAUGGCAGCAUCGUACCACACCGCUUUUUCUAUGUAAUAAAUACGGAUUGUUCAUGUAUGGAGUUAGAGACUCUCUCAUAUUUGUAUAAUAGUUAAUAAAACUGUUAGAAUGUGCCAAGAGAACUUUGUCUCCGUUUCUUACUCCUUUAAGAGUGUCGAUACAUGGAAUUUCCAUCACAGCCAUAAUCUGGACAGCACAACAUUUAUGAAAUUGUCUAGAAGGUUCAAUGCUGAAUCUACAGGUUGCUGAACAGCUUCUAACACGAGCCAUAAGCCUGCUAAAUGGCUCUUCAAAAGCCAGUUAACUGGCAUUUUACAAACACCGGUCCAAUUCGGAGUUGACUGCUUGGUUAACUGAUGACAAAAAAGCAUUCACUCACCUCGGCCAUGGUACUCAUCUGAGAUAGGUGGAAGGGAAGUCAGAGAAAGUGACAAAACAGAAUAUAAAGACACGUCACUACUCACUGUGGUAUCACCUGAGAAAAAC